Molecule: ribosomal RNA, 425 nt
Filed under: uncultured bacterium
Lineage: Bacteria
Description: partial 16S ribosomal RNA
Rfam family: Bacterial small subunit ribosomal RNA
Source: RNAcentral
GUGGGGAAUCUUGCGCAAUGGGCGAAAGCCUGACGCAGCCAUGCCGCGUGGAUGAUGAAGGUCUUAGGAUUGUAAAAUCCUUUCACCGGUGAAGAUAAUGACUGUAGCCGGAGAAGAAGCCCCGGCUAACUUCGUGCCAGCAGCCGCGGUAAUACGAAGGGGGCUAGCGUUGCUCGGAUUUACUGGGCGUAAAGGGCGCGUAGGCGGACAUUUAAGUCAGGUGUGAAAUCCCGGGGCUCAACCUCGGAACUGCCUUUGAUACUGGGUGUCUUGAGUGUGAGAGAGGUAUGUGGAACUCCGAGUGUAGAGGUGAAAUUCGUAGAUAUUCGGAAGAACACCAGUGGCGAAGGCGACAUACUGGCUCAUUACUGACGCUGAGGCUCGAAAGCGUGGGGAGCAAACAGGAUUAGAUACCCGAGUAGUCC